CCCAUAAUAGUCUCCCACACAGUGGUCAUUUGGAAACAAUUAACCCUUGAUUCAAGAUCCUCUUAAAGAAUCCUUUUCCAAGCCCUUCUCUUUUCUAUCUCAGCCUGUUGUGUUGUCUCUCCCCAUGGAUGGGAACAGCUUUAUCCUUCAGGAGCAACAUCCAUUGGUCUUGGCUUUCUCCAAAGUGUUGUGGUUUCGGACCGGUGGCUUUUUCCCCUGAUGGGGUAUCACCCCCCACCUUCCCUUUCCCCUCAUGACUCUGCGGCCAGAUGUGGUGGCCCCUUGCUGGGAUGUUAAACUGGCAACACCCUUGAUCCAGGCAGACAGACACUCAAUAGCCAACUUCUGGAAAACCUCCCCCCUGCACUGGAUGGCUCUGACACAAACCAGCUGAAGACAUUGCAAUGCCAGAAAGUGUUACAGCUGGACUGCCUGACAGAUUGGCAGCAUGCACGCUGAUUUGGGGACCGUAUUUGGGGGCCUGCAAAGUGCUCACUGUCCAGGCACCGAGCCACUAAUCACAGUUUACAUUAGGCAAUCAGAUACUUUUCCACUACUGAAUGAUCUGCUCUACCCCCCCCCCCCCCCUUUUUUUUCACGUUAUGGGACCCUGUGUGUGUAUAUACAGUACCUACCCUCUGCGCUUCACAUCUGCACUGUGUUUUAAGCUGAAUUUAAUGCACAGUUACUUGCCUCGACUCCGGCAGCGACAAGGUGCCCGAAUUGCUUCUGCCCUCUUUCCUACUCCCCAGCCUGAUGUCUGCCUGUUUCUGUGCUGACCCACGUGGUUAACUUAACCUGGGGUGGAGGGAUAUACUUAUGGACAAACCCCUGGGCAAGAAAAAAGCCUGGAUGUUUUAUGGCACUCUACAGGAGUGGGAUUUCUGUCAGCCUAUAGAAUCUGAUGAGUGGUUUUAAAUAAAAUUCCAGAGACCAGAUCUUCACUGAAAACAAUAGAUUUUUAGGGUAAUUUGUCUAGCAUGCUGCCCUUAAUCACUUUUACAAAGGAGUGUUUCAUUAGGAAUGAAUCUGUGUCAGCCCCAUACGUCAGCUCUGAUUUCUGCGUUGGCCCAGCCAUGAUGCUGUAGAUCUAUGUUCGUGUAAGAUAAGUUUGCCAUGGCUGGCUGUCUAAUGAAUAUGGCCUCAUUUACAAUAAGGAGGGCUCAGGCCUGGCUACAGCCCAGAGUUUCUAUUCCAAAGAAAUGCUGACAUUUUGGAAAACCUGGGUCUGUGUCAGAAUGAGUAGCUGAAAUUUUGAUAUUUUCCAAGCCAAAAAAGGUGCUCUGAAAAAUGUGUGCUGUAUUAAAACAUUAAAUAACAGUUAGGUGCCAAUUUAAGAAAAAUAUAUAAACAGAACAUGAAAAUUCAAAUUUUAAUAUAAACAUUGAACUGAAAUUAACAGAAAUGUUUUGAUGUUGGCGAAAUGAGAUAUCAUAACUUCUUCUCACCAAUGUUUUUCUGCCACAGCUGAUCUAUUCCUAUGAAAACGUUUUGAUUUUAAUGAAUCUGUAUGUUUUCCACAGCAUAAUUAUUUUGUCAAAAAAGGGAAAACAAAUCGCACUACAUAAGAUGGCCCCAGACUUGUCCUGCUGAACAGAGUGUUGGGCAAUUGACCUAACUGAUUUCCACCUUUGCUUGUGCAGGGUCAGCCCCUGAGGUUCAAGCAGACCAGGAAGGAUAUUUUCAAGUUUUAACAAAUGUGAAACUGUACAUUUUGGGGUUCACGUUGCUGUCUUUACUUUUCCUUCCAGUCCUUGCAACAGAAUAAAUCUUGGCCAAUUAUGGCUCAAUUUCCCCAUCUGAAAAGUGGGAAUACUGCUGUUUGCUCACCUUUCUUAAGAUUUGUGCCUAGGUAAAGCACUCAUAAGCACCAAUUAACCUUAUUACCCAAUUCCUGUGCGUAAACUAAGGGCUGAUGUGAAGAAAUGAGUAUGCACGGUGUUGUGCAGAUAGGAAACAGGGUUAUUUUCGGCCCAGAUUGCAGUUUCACGGUUCCUGGGGCAGAGCUGAAGCUUACAAGCCUGUUUAUUUUCUUCCCUGGAGAACCCGGGAUGUGACAAUCAACAAACAACCCCCAUGACAAAAUGUGAGAGGAAAAGGACAUUUAUUAGGUAAAUAUAGUGUAAAAGUCCAGCAAGGCACUGCAUGCACGCGCACACACCAGGGUCUGAGUGAGCAUGGAGGGGACUUGGGAAAGGUAUUAUGCAUUCAGGCAUCUUCAAUGUACUGCUAAUAAAAUUAAGUGUUGAAACAUAAAUGUUUUAAUUUUAGUGCAAAUGUUCCAAGCAAUAGCCCCUUCUGCACCUUUCCUUCCCACCCCCAGCCUGGACUAAUCCAUUUAGAGACAAAUUUACAUUUUAUUUCUCCAAACCCUAUUAGCAUUAAUAGAAAGGUCAGCACUGAAAAGGCAGCUUCAGAAGCUAAAGUGCCAGUGCGCUGUGCUCUGCAGCCAGACAAGGGCAUGUGGGUCUCUCACCCACUGGGUCUGACAAGAAUUUGUAAUUUAAGAGGAAAAUCCUCCUCUCUAGACAUCCCCGUGGCUCAUGGAGAUGACCAGGCCACCCUCUGGACACCAAAUGGGGCUUCUUGAUAUCAGAA
This is a long non-coding RNA of Oxyura jamaicensis (ruddy duck), 2598 nucleotides long. RefSeq lists it as uncharacterized. Lineage: Eukaryota; Metazoa; Chordata; Aves; Anseriformes; Anatidae. The record is from RefSeq and is a predicted model, not a curated record. The transcript is spliced from 2 exons.